RNAcentral lists this long non-coding RNA (310 nucleotides) under Olea europaea (common olive). RNAcentral describes it as "long non-coding RNA (OEUR_LNC008920)". Lineage: Eukaryota; Viridiplantae; Streptophyta; Magnoliopsida; Lamiales; Oleaceae. The record is from RNAcentral.
UUAGUUUGAAAAAUUUUAAACACAUCUCUCAUUCGAUUGAUGUUAAUAAUUCUAAGGUGUCCCAUAAUAGACAAUAUCGUCGACAAGGUAAUCAAAAAUACUUUCGACCCGAUCGUAAGGAUAGGGAUAGGAAUAGGGAUCAGAUUCGUGAGCGAGAACGAGAUAAUUUUGAAAUUCUUACUCAAUGGAAUGCCCUUAAACAAGGAAAUCAAUUAGUAACUGAGUAUAUCGCGCAAUUUGAGGAAUUUCGAACCAAAGGUCAUUUAAUUGAGAAUGAGAGCACGACUUUGAGUAGGUUUAGCCAAGGUCU